This is a non-coding RNA of Pantherophis guttatus, 3525 nucleotides long. Lineage: Eukaryota; Metazoa; Chordata; Lepidosauria; Squamata; Colubridae. The record is from RefSeq and is a predicted model, not a curated record.
CGACAAGCUCAGUGUUUUAGCCACUGAGCCAUUGCAUCCCUAGCUCUUUUACAUUAUAUAUUCUGUUAUGUCUCCUUUUGGAGACAUAUUAUGUUGCCUUUUGGAAAAACACCUUUGGGUCUCUUGUUCAUGGGGCAGCCAUGGGAAAAUUGUGAUCAUCUUCUGAAGCGAUGGUGAGGACCCAUUGUGCAGCUUCUGUGCAAGAGUUCUUCUUAGGCAGAGAAAAGAGCAGUGUGAGAUAUAACUGAGGCUGACUGUUUGGAGUUAUGGAGCAGAGAGCUAGGAUGACUUCAGCCAAGGACCAUUAGCUAAUGCAUUUAUUGUAGAAUUUCUUGAAUGCAGAGAAGUUGAAGGAGUCAGUCUGCCAAAUUGCCACAAGGCUGUAUCUUUACUAACAAAACACAACGGAACAAGUCUUUGCAGCUCUUUUUCCUGGAGCAACUCCGAGCGGAUUCGUGUGGCCUCUAAGAUUCUGGGAAGUGUUAAAACUUACAUGCAUACAUAAACGUUAUUCACCAGUUAAAUAAAAAUCUAAUUAUGCUAUAAAGACAUUUUCAGUCUAAUGAGACAGGCUUUUAGGGAGAGAGAGAAAAAAGUAGCUUGUGUAUGCAGGCAUUUCGGGAUAAUUAACUUAAACCAGCCCUCAACAUGCAUCUGAUGAAUGAUUCCAUGAUUUAUAUCUUCAUGAAUGUUCAACCUCCUUGCCAAGAGAUGGGCCUGCUCUUUCGCCUUCAAUCAUGGUCCCACUUUGGAGAAGUAUGAAGAUUAUAUGAAGAUUGUAUUAUUUGUGGAGUGGGAGAGUGGACAGAUAACCAUUGAAUCACUGAAUUCUCUAACUGGUCCUGGAAUAGAACUGGAAUAGAAUUCUAGAAUCCUAGAUUCAAUCAUAGAAUCAAUCAUGGAAUCCUAGAAUCAUGGAAUCCUAGAUUCAGAUAGAGUCAAGAAUCAAUCAUAGAAUCCUAGAUUCAAUCAUAGAAUCAUGGAAUCCUAGAUUCAGAUAGAGUCAAUCAUUGAAUCAAUCAUAGAAUCCUAGAUUCAAUCAUAGAAUCAUGGAAUCCUAGAUUCAGAUAGAGUCAAUCAUAGAAUCAAUCAUGGAAUCCUAGAAUCAUGGAAUCCUAGAUUCAACCAUAGAAUCCUAAAUUCAAUCCUAGAAUCAGUCAUGGAAUCCUAGAAUCCUGGAAUCCUAGAUUCAAUCCUAGAAUCAAUUAUAGAAUCAUAGAAUCCUAGGGCUGGAAGAAUCUUGGAGGUCUUCAGAUCCAACCCACUGCCCAUAAUAGGAAUCUUUAUUCCAUCCUAGAUAAAUGAUUGGCCAAUCUUUUCUUAAAAACCUCCAGCGAUGGAGCACCCACAACUUCCGCGAGCCUAUCAGGGCACAGAUUUGGGAGCUUCCAAUGCCACACAAACAGACUUGGGAGACAACACACAUCCCACAGGCCAAAAUCACCCUGUGCAAGAACGAUGAAUUUCACAAUCCAGAACUCUCUGGAACUUCCAUACUCUUGUAAUUUAUGUUCUUCUGAUGCCAGGCCUUAAGAAUCAUUAUUUUUUGGAAAGGAAAAUGACGUCAAUUAGAAACACCUUUUAAAAAAAAAAAAAAAAGUUUUGCGUCAGCAAACAACACAGGAGCCCAGAAAGUGCCCUUCAGGGCAUUUUUUUCUUAAUUUACUUUUCGUCUGUCAAGAAAUGUUGUAGAGUAACCUUCUCAUUAGCCAGUUAUGUUUGCAAUAUUAGCUACAUAUGAUGGCAAUUAGAGGCAGAAUCUCUAAAGGUCUUUCUUGAAUGUUAAAGCCUAGCCAUGAUUAUUUUUCAGGAGGUUUUAAGUUUGUUUUUGUUUUUUUAACAAUAAAGGGCUGUCAUGGAAAGGAGUAGAGAGAUGAAAAUAUGGUAACUGUUGCUUUAAAUUACAGCUAUCCUAACUUCAAAGGAUAUUCAAUCAGAACCCUUGGCAGAUCUAGACAACUAAGCUUUUCUUAACCUAAGAAACAGCUUGACAGUUCCACCCUCUCAUCUUUCUUUCUUUCUUUCUUUCUUUCUUUCUUUCUUUCUUUCUUUCUUUCUUUCUUUCUUUCUUCCUUCCUUCCUUCCUUCCUUCCUUCCUUCCUUCCCCUAUCUCUCUUUCUCUCUCUCCCUCUUUCUUUCUUUCUUUCUUUCUUUCUUUCUUUCUUUCUUUCUUUCUUUCUUUCUUUCUUGUUACUUGAUCUCAAAAAGAAAAGAGGAAACAUUUCUAAAAUGUUAGCCACUCUUCCAACAGAAAGCCUAGAGUAUGUCCUGCAUGUUGAGAAUAUAUUGUAUAUUGUCUUUCAUUUGUUCUCUGUUUCCUAUUGUUUUGUUUCACCGUGGGUCUCCACAGGAAUGGAUCAAUCAGGAAGAAGAACGGACUUGGGGGGAAAAAAUGUACUCUUAAAAUAAAAUCUACAGCAUAAGGCUCUUUUCAGAGACUUUACUCCCGGCAUCUCUUCCACCCAAUCCAAAGCCACCAUUCCAAAAAAAAAAAAAUAAAUAAAAAAAUGUUUUGUGCGUCAAGAAUGCACUUUGGAGUAUUUUCCAUGCUGGAAUUUGGAAUAUUUGAAUAUCUGCUAGGCUUUUUCCAUUAAUAUUUAGCACAUCCAUAUAAAAACAUACUCUUGGACCAUGGCCUAUAUCUCGAAUCAGUGGUGUCCACUUUAAAUUUCAAUGAAGCCAACAUGCCUACUCUCAGCCACUUCUGCCCUAAUCACCUCUUGAGUGGACUACUGUAUAAGGCGCACUACAUGGGGCUGCCCUAGGAGACUACCUGGAAACUGUGUGAAAUAUGGCAGUGCAGACAGCUAAAUGUGCCCCAAGAAUGGUACAUAUUAUAUCUUUCCACUGCAAGCUACAUUGGUUAUCAGUUUGCUUCUGAGUCCAAUUUAGAGCCCUUUAUGGCAUGGGGCCAACUUAUUUGAAGUACUUCUUCUCCAUGGUUACAUCUACCCAUCCCACCAUGUCCAGCAGGAGAGACAUGUGAUGGAUCCCACCUGCUAAGAAGCUCCAUCUGACAGGACCCAGGAGAUGAGCCUUUUCUCCCCAUGGCCCCUGCCCUAUGGAACAUCAUUUCUCCCAGGGAAGCCCAUGUCUGCGAUCAGUCAACUGGAUUCCUGGCAGUUCAGAAGAAUGUAAGAGUCCAGCAGCAGAAACGCCUCCAUAUUUGAGCUUUGGAUAACUUCAGCCAAGAUCUUCUGAAGUAUCUCCCUGGAAAACCUCAUGGGACUAAGAUGUACUAAGUUUGAAAUUCUUUCCCACUCCUGCAUAUUGUAGCGCCCGGCGUCAUGACACAACCUGUUCUAGCAGAUCUGGAACCACCAGCCAAAACAAUAGGUGGGAAGAUGACAUGUACAGAAGUGAUUGUACCCUUCCCUCCAUCGGGUGACUCAUCUGGUUGCAUCCUCUGCCAAGCGUUGCUUCCGUUAUUUUCCAAGGGAAAAGCAGCUUGGUUCACUUCGGCUGCCAAACUUAUAAACAAGAGACAGGGAUUUUUAAUAAAUCACUAUUGCAGUUAUAAACAUA